AGCUUUGCGCAGUGGCAGUAUAGUAGCCAAUGAGGUUUAUCUGAGGCGUGAUUAUUGCUAAUUGAAAACUUUUCCCAGUACCCCGCCAUGACAACUUGAAAAGCACAGGAUU
RNAcentral lists this small nuclear RNA (112 nucleotides) under Oryctolagus cuniculus (rabbit). Its description in RNAcentral is "U4 spliceosomal RNA". It matches the Rfam family "U4 spliceosomal RNA", at positions 1 to 105 of the family's 138-position model. From Rfam's summary of the family: U4 small nuclear RNA (U4 snRNA) is a component of the major U2-dependent spliceosome. The structure of U4 snRNA from yeast and human has been reported. U4 snRNA presents a k-turn RNA motif in the 5p-SL related to recognition of Snu13 protein. Lineage: Eukaryota; Metazoa; Chordata; Mammalia; Lagomorpha; Leporidae. The record is from Rfam by way of RNAcentral.